CCUACGGGUGGCAGCAGUGGGGAAUAUUGCACAAUGGGCGCAAGCCUGAUGCAGCCAUGCCGCGUGUGUGAAGAAGGCCUUCGGGUUGUAAAGCACUUUCAGCGGGGAGGAAGGCGUUAAGGUUAAUAACCUUGGCGAUUGACGUUACCCGCAGAAGAAGCACCGGCUAACUCCGUGCCAGCAGCCGCGGUAAUACGGGGGGUGCAAGCGUUAAUCGGAAUUACUGGGCGUAAAGCGCACGCAGGCGGUCUGUCAAGUCGGACGUGAAAUCCCCGGGCUCAACCUGGGAACUGCAUUCGAAACUGGCAGGCUAGAGUCUUGUAGAGGGGGGUAGAAUUCCAGGUGUAGCGGUGAAAUGCGUAGAGAUCUGGAGGAAUACCGGUGGCGAAGGCGGCCCCCUGGACAAAGACUGACGCUCAGGUGCGAAAGCGUGGGGAGCAAACAGGAUUAGAUACCCUGGUAGUC
RNAcentral lists this ribosomal RNA (465 nucleotides) under uncultured Klebsiella sp. RNAcentral describes it as "bacterial SSU rRNA". It matches the Rfam family "Bacterial small subunit ribosomal RNA", at positions 338 to 795 of the family's 1533-position model. The record is from RNAcentral. Lineage: Bacteria; Pseudomonadati; Pseudomonadota; Gammaproteobacteria; Enterobacterales; Enterobacteriaceae.